Long non-coding RNA from Ostrinia nubilalis (European corn borer), 675 nucleotides. RefSeq lists it as uncharacterized. The transcript is spliced from 4 exons. The record is from RefSeq and is a predicted model, not a curated record. NCBI's taxonomy places the organism in Eukaryota, Metazoa, Arthropoda, Insecta, Lepidoptera, Crambidae.
UGCCAAAUUUAGAGCAAUUAAAAAUUUUCCUGGGGUGAUAGGAGCCAUAGAUUGCACCCACAUUAAAAUUAAAAAAACCGGAGGUGACAUGGCCCAGUACUAUAUUAAUAGAAAAGGCUAUUAUUCCCUGAAUGUUCAGGUUGUCUGUGAUGCUGACCUCAAAAUAAUGGAUAUAGUGGCUAGAUGGCGAGGCAGUACACAUGACAGUCGAAUUUUUAUGGAGAGCAAUAUAAAACAACGAUUUGAGGAUAGGCAGUUUAGAGGACGCCUUAUUGGCGAUUCGGGCUACCCUCUUCUGCCAUAUCUAUUUACACCUAUUUUAAGGCCUAGUCGUCCAGAAGAAGAAGCAUACAAUAAUGCUCACAUCUCAACUAGGAACACUGUUGAAAGGUGUUUUGGGGUGUGGAAGCAGCGGUUCCAAUGCCUACUCCAUGGCUUACCAGUAAGCCUCCAAAAUGGAAAAGCUGUGAUCAUAGCAUUGGCUGUAUUACAUAAUAUAGCCAUUGAUAUGAAUGACACAUUGUUAGAACAACAUAUGGAGCAGGUCCCUGUAACUCCGCAACUUUCGACGGAGAACAGUGUUCACGACAACCGACCUUCAUUGUUGAGGCGUAGGUCGCAGUUGAUACUACAAAAUUUUAUAAAUCAACAUUUUUGAAUGAUACUGUUCCUGGC